This 483-nucleotide ribosomal RNA is filed under the name uncultured bacterium. Its description in RNAcentral is "partial 16S ribosomal RNA". It matches the Rfam family "Bacterial small subunit ribosomal RNA", at positions 29 to 507 of the family's 1533-position model. The record is from RNAcentral.
UUGCACGCUGGCGGCAUGCUUUACCCAUGCAAGUCGAACGGCAGCGCGGGCUUCGGCCUGGCGGCGAGUGGCGAACGGGUGAGUAAUGCAUCGGAACGUGCCCAGUAGUGGGGGAUAGCCCGGCGAAAGCCGGAUUAAUACCGCAUACGACCUGAGGGUGAAAGCGGGGGACCGAAAGGCCUCGCGCUAUUGGAGCGGCCGAUGUCGGAUUAGCUAGUUGGUGGGGUAAAGGCUUACCAAGGCGACGAUCCGUAGCUGGUCUGAGAGGACGACCAGCCACACUGGGACUGAGACACGGCCCAGACUCCUACGGGAGGCAGCAGUGGGGAAUUUUGGACAAUGGGGGCAACCCUGAUCCAGCCAUGCCGCGUGCGGGAAGAAGGCCUUCGGGUUGUAAACCGCUUUUGUUCGGGAAGAAAUCCUCUGGGCUAAUACCCCGGGGGGAUGACGGUACCGGAAGAAUAAGCACCGGCUAACUACGUG